AGAGUUUGAUCCUGGCUCAGAACGAACGCUGACGGCGGGGUUUAGGCAUGCAAGUCGCACGAGAAAGCCGCAAGGUGAGUACAGUGGCGUAAGGGCGAGUAAUGGUUCGUCAACGUACCGAGCAGACGUGAAUAAUUUCCCGAAAGGGAUUGUAAUGCACGAUGAGACCACGGGGUGUACGCACUCUGGGGUCAAAGGUCGGGGACCCUUCGGGACCCGGCGCUGUUUGAACGGACGAACUCUGAUUAGCUAGUUGGCGGGGUAACGGCCCACCAAGGCGAUGAUCAGUAGCCGGGCUGAGAGGCUGUCCGGCCACACGGGCACUGAGAUACUGGCCCGACUCCUACGGGAGGCUGCAGUCGCGAAUUUUUCACAAUGGGCGCAAGCCUGAUGAAGCCACGCCGCGUGCGGGAUGAAGGCCCUCUGGGUUGUAAACCGCUGUCGAGGGAGGGGAACCGCUGGAUGUGAAUAGCAUCCAGUCUGACUGCUCUCUGAAGGAAGCCCCGGCAAAACAUGUGCCAGCAGCCGCGGUAAUACAUGUGGGGCAAGCGUUGUUCGGAAUUACUGGGCAUAAAGGGUGCGUAGGUGGUUUGUUAAGUCAGGGGUGAAAUCCCGCGGCCCAACCGUGGAACUGCCCUUGAUACUGGCGAACUUGAGUGCGUGAGGGGUAGGGGGAACGAGCAGUGUAGCGGUGAAAUGCGUAGAUAUUGCUCGGAAGGCCAGAGCCGAAGGGGCCCUACUGGUGCGCAACUGACACUGAGGCACGAAAGCGUGGGGAGCAAACAGGAUUAGAUACCCUGGUAGUCC
RNAcentral lists this ribosomal RNA (807 nucleotides) under uncultured bacterium. RNAcentral's name for it is "bacterial SSU rRNA". It matches the Rfam family "Bacterial small subunit ribosomal RNA", at positions 8 to 796 of the family's 1533-position model. The record is from RNAcentral.